AGAGUUUGAUCCUGGCUCAGGAUGAACGCUAGCUACAGGCUUAACACAUGCAAGUCGAGGGGCAGCAUGGUCUUAGCUUGCUAAGGCCGAUGGCGACCGGCGCACGGGUGAGUAACACGUAUCCAACCUGCCGUCUACUCUUGGACAGCCUUCUGAAAGGAAGAUUAAUACAAGAUGGCAUCAUGAGUCCGCAUGUUCACAUGAUUAAAGGUAUUCCGGUAGACGAUGGGGAUGCGUUCCAUUAGAUAGUAGGCGGGGUAACGGCCCACCUAGUCUUCGAUGGAUAGGGGUUCUGAGAGGAAGGUCCCCCACAUUGGAACUGAGACACGGUCCAAACUCCUACGGGAGGCAGCAGUGAGGAAUAUUGGUCAAUGGGCGAGAGCCUGAACCAGCCAAGUAGCGUGAAGGAUGACUGCCCUAUGGGUUGUAAACUUCUUUUAUAAAGGAAUAAAGUCGGGUAUGGAUACCCGUUUGCAUGUACUUUAUGAAUAAGGAUCGGCUAACUCCGUGCCAGCAGCCGCGGUAAUACGGAGGAUCCGAGCGUUAUCCGGAUUUAUUGGGUUUAAAGGGAGCGUAGAUGGAUGUUUAAGUCAGUUGUGAAAGUUUGCGGCUCAACCGUAAAAUUGCAGUUGAUACUGGAUAUCUUGAGUGCAGUUGAGGCAGGCGGAAUUCGUGGUGUAGCGGUGAAAUGCUUAGAUAUCACGAAGAACUCCGAUUGCGAAGGCAGCCUGCUAAGCUGCAACUGACAUUGAGGCUCGAAAGUGUGGGUAUCAAACAGGAUUAGAUACCCUGGUAGUCCACACGGUAAACGAUGAAUACUCGCUGUUUGCGAUAUACAGCAAGCGGCCAAGCGAAAGCGUUAAGUAUUCCACCUGGGGAGUACGCCGGCAACGGUGAAACUCAAAGGAAUUGACGGGGGCCCGCACAAGCGGAGGAACAUGUGGUUUAAUUCGAUGAUACGCGAGGAACCUUACCCGGGCUUAAAUUGCAGAUGAAUUACGGUGAAAGCCGUAAGCCGCAAGGCAUCUGUGAAGGUGCUGCAUGGUUGUCGUCAGCUCGUGCCGUGAGGUGUCGGCUUAAGUGCCAUAACGAGCGCAACCCUUGUUGUCAGUUACUAACAGGUUCUGCUGAGGACUCUGACAAGACUGCCAUCGUAAGAUGUGAGGAAGGUGGGGAUGACGUCAAAUCAGCACGGCCCUUACGUCCGGGGCUACACACGUGUUACAAUGGGGGGUACAGAGGGCCGCUACCACGCGAGUGGAUGCCAAUCCCAAAAACCUCUCUCAGUUCGGACUGGAGUCUGCAACCCGACUCCACGAAGCUGGAUUCGCUAGUAAUCGCGCAUCAGCCACGGCGCGGUGAAUACGUUCCCGGGCCUUGUACACACCGCCCGUCAAGCCAUGGGAGCCGGGGGUACCUGAAGUGCGUAACCGCGAGGAGCGCCCUAGGGUAAAACUGGUGACUGGGGCUAAGUCGUAACAAGGUAGCCGUACCGGAAGGUGCGGCUGGAACACCU
Molecule: ribosomal RNA, 1516 nt
Filed under: Phocaeicola vulgatus CL09T03C04
Lineage: Bacteria; Pseudomonadati; Bacteroidota; Bacteroidia; Bacteroidales; Bacteroidaceae
Description: bacterial SSU rRNA
Rfam family: Bacterial small subunit ribosomal RNA
Source: RNAcentral